AUAGUAUUCCCUCCGUCCGAAAAAACUUGUUUCAUACUUAUCUCUCAAAUGGAUGUAUCUAACAUUAACUUGAUGCUAGAUACAUCCAUUUGAGAGAUAAGUUUUUUCAGACAGAGGGAGUAUUCA
This is a non-coding RNA of Triticum urartu, 126 nucleotides long. The record is from Rfam. Lineage: Eukaryota; Viridiplantae; Streptophyta; Magnoliopsida; Poales; Poaceae.